RNAcentral lists this ribosomal RNA (795 nucleotides) under Beltraniella ramosiphora. Its description in RNAcentral is "Beltraniella sp. CGL-2017a partial large subunit ribosomal RNA". It matches the Rfam family "Eukaryotic large subunit ribosomal RNA", at positions 97 to 918 of the family's 3401-position model. Lineage: Eukaryota; Fungi; Ascomycota; Sordariomycetes; Amphisphaeriales; Beltraniaceae. The record is from RNAcentral.
AGCGGGAACAGCUCAAAUUUUGAAAUCUGGCCCUCGGGUCCGAAUUGUAAUUUGCAGAGGAUGCUUUUGGUUAGGUACUUUCCGAGUUCCCUGGAACGGGACGCCUUAGAGGGUGAGAGCCCCGUACGGUUGGAUACCGAGCCUUUGUAAAGCUCCUUCGACGAGUCGAGUAGUUUGGGAAUGCUGCUCUAAAUGGGAGGUAAAUUUCUUCUAAAGCUAAAUACCGGCCAGAGACCGAUAGCGCACAAGUAGAGUGAUCGAAAGAUGAAAAGCACUUUGAAAAGAGGGUUAAAUAGCACGUGAAAUUGUUGAAAGGGAAGCGUUUAUGACCAGACUUUUUCCAGGCGGAUCAUCCGGUGUUCUCACCGGUGCACUUCGUCUGGUUGAGGCCAGCAUCGGUUUUCGUAGAGGGAUAAAAGCUUUAGGAAUGUGGUUCCUCCGGGAAUGUUAUAGCCUAUUGUAUAAUACCUUUAUGGGGACCGAGGUUCGCGCUCUGCAAGGAUGCUGGCGUAAUGGUCAUCAACGACCCGUCUUGAAACACGGACCAAGGAGUCGAACAUUUGUGCGAGUGUUUUGGGUGUUAAACCCUCACGCGUAAUGAAAGUGAACGGAGGUGAGAGCCCUUACGGGUGCAUCAUCGACCGAUCCUGAUGUUUUCGGAUGGAUUUGAGUAAGAGCAUAACUGUUCGGACCCGAAAGAUGGUGAACUAUGCGUGGAUAGGGUGAAGCCAGAGGAAACUCUGGUGGAGGCUCGCAGCGGUUCUGACGUGCAAAUCGAUCGUCAAAUCUGCGCAU